GAAACUGCGAAUGGCUCAUUAAAUCAGUUAUCGUUUAUUUGAUAGUACCUUACUACAUGGAUAACCGUGGUAAUUCUAGAGCUAAUACAUGCUAAAAAUCCCGACUUCGGAAGGGAUGUAUUUAUUAGAUUAAAAACCAAUGCCCUUCGGGGCUCUCUGGUGAUUCAUAAUAACUUCUCGAAUCGCACGGCCUUGCGCCGGCGAUGGUUCAUUCAAAUUUCUGCCCUAUCAACUUUCGACGGCUGGGUCUUGGCCAGCCGUGGUGACAACGGGUAACGGAGGGUUAGGGCUCGACCCCGGAGAAGGAGCCUGAGAAACGGCUACUACAUCCAAGGAAGGCAGCAGGCGCGCAAAUUACCCAAUCCCGACACGGGGAGGUAGUGACAAUAAAUACUGAUACAGGGCUCUUUCGGGUCUUGUAAUUGGAAUGAGUACAAUUUAAAUCCCUUAACGAGGAACAAUUGGAGGGCAAGUCUGGUGCCAGCAGCCGCGGUAAUUCCAGCUCCAAUAGCGUAUAUUAAAGUUGUUGAGGUUAAAAAGCUCGUAGUUGAACCUUGGGCCUAGCCGGCCGGUCCGCCUCAC
Molecule: ribosomal RNA, 582 nt
Filed under: uncultured fungus
Lineage: Eukaryota; Fungi
Description: SSU rRNA
Rfam family: Eukaryotic small subunit ribosomal RNA
Source: RNAcentral